Molecule: ribosomal RNA, 547 nt
Filed under: uncultured bacterium
Lineage: Bacteria
Description: bacterial SSU rRNA
Rfam family: Bacterial small subunit ribosomal RNA
Source: RNAcentral
UGGGGAAUAUUGCGCAAUGGGGGGAACCCUGACGCAGCCAUGCCGCGUGAAUGAAGAAGGCCUUCGGGUUGUAAAGUUCUUUCGGUAUUGAGGAAGGUUGAUGUGUUAAUAGCACAUCAAAUUGACGUUAAAUACAGAAGAAGCACCGGCUAACUCCGUGCCAGCAGCCGCGGUAAUACGGAGGGUGCGAGCGUUAAUCGGAAUAACUGGGCGUAAAGGGCACGCAGGCGGUUAUUUAAGUGAGGUGUGAAAGCCCUGGGCUUAACCUAGGAAUUGCAUUUCAGACUGGGUAACUAGAGUACUUUAGGGAGGGGUAGAAUUCCACGUGUAGCGGUGAAAUGCGUAGAGAUGUGGAGGAAUACCGAAGGCGAAGGCAGCCCCUUGGGAAUGUACUGACGCUCAUGUGCGAAAGCGUGGGGAGCAAACAGGAUUAGAUACCCUGGUAGUCCGCGCUGUAAACGCUGUCGAUUUGGGGGUUGGGGUUUAACUCUGGCGCCCGUAGCUAACGUGAUAAAUCGACCGCCUGGGGAGUACGGCCGCAAGGUUA